This 4477-nucleotide long non-coding RNA is filed under the name Panax ginseng (ginseng). Its description in RNAcentral is "long non-coding RNA (PGIN_LNC004360)". Lineage: Eukaryota; Viridiplantae; Streptophyta; Magnoliopsida; Apiales; Araliaceae. The record is from RNAcentral.
UGUGCCAAAUAGUUCUUUUCAAAUGAGAAAAUGGUGCCAACACCGAAUCAAUAUUUCAUAAAAGUAAAUUAUGUAGGCAAAAUACAUAAUGGUCAUGAGUUUACCUAUUUCUGUUAAUUCACAGGUAUUGCUCAACAAGGGCGCCAAGUAUGUUGUAGUCCAAGGUCUGCCUACAACAGGGUGCCUCACAUUGUCCAUGUAUUUGUCUCCAGAAGAUGACAGAGAUGAUAUAGGAUGCGUUGGAAGCAUGAACAAGCAAAGCUACAGUCACAACACCAUCUACCAAGCCAAGUUGCAAGAUUUUAGGAAGAAGUUUCCAAAUGCUGUCAUUGUUUAUGCUGAUUAUUGGAAUGCUUACCACACUAUUAUGAAGAAUGCAGGUAAGUAUGGCUUCAAGGAGCUAUAUAAAGUCUGCUGUGGAUCGAGCGGUGGUGAGUAUAACAUCGAUUUGUAUGGAAUAUGUGGCUCACCUGCCUCAAGCUCCUGUGCAAACCCUUCUCAGUACAUCAAUUGGGAUGGAGUCCACCUCACUGAAGGCAUGUACAAGGUGGUUUCUGAAUUGUUUCUUAAUGGAUUGUUCACUCACCCUCCAUUCGAGUACCUGUUAAACAAGAAAAUGCAAUUUGGAUGAAUUGAUUGCAGUCUUGUUCAGCUUCAGUUCUGUGUUUGUUGUCAAUGAGAUCUCAACAAUCGAACUAGUGUUUGGAGCUAUAUGAAGUGACAUAAGAUAUAUGGUGGGGUAAAAGUAAUUUUUUCUUUCUACGCGAAGUGAGAUAAGCGAUAUGGUUUGCUCAUGUAAAGAACAGAGUAUUAAGAUAGAUAAAUUGUCAAGUAAGUCGAAGAAAACAAAAUUAAACAGAAGAGCUAGAUUGGUAAGUUAAUGCUAAUUAGUUUAUCUGGGGUUGGUUUUGUUGUUUGACUGUUUAUUAGAUAAUGGAAAAGGUAUCAUUCAUCAAAGAAAGAUGAGAUUAUUCAAUCUCGUUCAACCAGAAUUAGAACAUUUUACCACCUUGUUAGGGUGUGUAAAGAUUAUCCUUUUGAUAAAAAUAAAAUGACCGAAAAAUUAAAAAUUAACUAACUUAAGUUAUAGAGCUGUAAAGAAAAAUCAUAAUUGAAAAAGAGAAGUCACAACAUCUCCUAGGUAGAGCAUGUAAGUUGUUUCCUUUCAAUUUUCAGCAAAGCUUUGCAGAAUCCACUUGCUACAAUAUCCUAUAAAAGCAGGACCAGAGACCACAGAACUGAAGCAGAAGUUAUGGAGACUUCUGUACUGGUCAUAUGAAACUAGGCAACAUAUACCUAAAAUGACCAGCUUGGAAAGUUUCCUCUACAUUUGAUUUGACUUCAAAAAAUUACAUGCAAAUGCAUUUAUUUGUUAGAAUCAGUUAUCAAUACCUUGCCACGGAGAACAGUCAAAUAUACACAUAAUGCCCUUGUUGAUUCCACAACAGAGCUGGUCCUCGGUUUUGUAAGGUGUAGGGAAAUUUUUUUCAAGUGUGCCCUUUAUACAAAUUAAACAAAAAAAUAAAUAAAUUAUCAACUAAUUAAUUUUAUUAAAAUUAUAAGAAUUUACAAAAGAUAAGGAAGAACACUUUGGGGCCUCAUUAAAAAAUUUGUUUGGGGAAAAUCAAUGGGACAAAACCCCAAACGAAGGGAAAAAAAUACCCUGAAUUGUAAACAUUGCAUUAAAAAACGAAGAACAAGAAUCCCAGCCAAGUUUUCUGUUGAAUCAAAUAAUAAAUAAGAAAAAGUUAACAAAGAUAUAUAUUACAAUUUACAAAAUUUAUAUAUCUAAAUUAUAUAUGUAUCUUUAAAAAAAAAUUACCUUCAAAGAAAGGCAUUGGUCUAGCUGAUGGAUGAUUUAUUUUCCAACUUUGUUGGAAAAGAAGAGAAUCACCGGGAAAAAAAAAUUGCUUGCGUUAUGUUAUGAACUGAGAGGGUCGAAGGGUUUUUUCUUCUUUUUGUGGCUAAGAGUGUCUUUUGAUUUCCCAUAUUUAUUGAUUUGUUUUAUAUUAUAUUUUAUAAUUAAUAUGAGACUUCCUUACUCGGAACGUUUCUUCUUGAGAUUGAGUAUAUAAAGAUUGAUUGGAUUGAUUGGCUUCCCUUUUCAUUAACAGGUACGGGCGACAAUUUCUUUUAUUUUAUUUUAUAUUUUUUUUAUACACAUAUAUACAUCAUUUUAAAAAGAAUUUGGGCCCCCCUCAGCUUUGGGCCCUAGGCUGUAUCACUGGUAGCCCUGGCCCAGGGCCGGCUGUGUUCCACAACAAUAUCAAAUAGGUGGUUUGUAGCGGAAUUGUACGAUCCAUCCCACAUCAAUUCAUCACCAUGCAGCGCACACCUGUGUAAACUGACCCAAUAAGCAUGUUGGACCAUCUCCUUACUUCAAAGGUUAACCUAUUAGGUUAAGGCUCUACCAUACUUAUUAACCCAUCUACACUCUUGAAUUUAUCCAAUGUGAGAUUCAUGUGAAAUAUCCCAGCAUGGUUCACGUAAAAUUUUGAGACACAAAUUGGUCCCAAGUGCUUAAACUAUCAAAUCCGUGACAUUAUGACACAAUGUAGAGCCUGAUGUGGGCUAAUGAGAGCACAUAUGUUACUCAACAAACUAAAAAAGAGACGUGAGAGUUAAGACUUGGUCACCAGCACAGGAGUGUAAGCAGUAAUUACACUGCCAAACCCUAAUCUGAGGUCAACCCUAAAUAGGAUCCUAAUCCUAUUCAGACUUGAGAAAAUAAUAGGUAUAAAACUACUCAGUGCUAACCAAAGAUCGUCUCAUUUCCCAUUAUUUUACUCAAUCAAUCCUUGCAACCCGCUCUACUCUUUCGCUUCCUUAAUGACUUGAUAAUCAAAGGGACUCCCAGGAAUCAACAUGACGGACCUUAGUAUUCCUUCUAUGCCUACAGGUAUCUAGAUUCUCAGAUUGACCUCCAGAAUACUACGAGAAGCUUUUGAGCCCAUCAGUUUGGCACUGUCUGAAGGAACGGCUAACUAAAUUGUCCAAAUACCUAGCUUGCAUUAGACCUAAGAAAGAUCACAACCAACAACCCAUAUAACCAAAACACGAACAGAAACACUUGUGUGGUUCUCAAGACAGAAUGUUCUUGGAAAAAAAAAUAAACAAAUAAAGAUUUUUAAAAAUGCCACAAAAGCCAACUCUUUAGCUAGACCCAUACUUAAAUGAUGAUAAAUGGCUGAUUUGAGGUUCUAAGUGUGGCAAUUGAAGAAAGUCAAGGGUCAAACCCAGUUCUUAUUACAGAGAAUGAACAAAUUAAAAAUCUGUGUCUCCAAAGCAAGGACAUAUUUGUCAUUUCGAGAAAACUCGGGCAUAUAUAACCCAAGCAUUCUGCUAGUCACUUUCAAGUAGAGCAGAAAGCCUUGACAGAAUGCAUUCCUCCUCCAUAUCUUUCUCUCUCCAAAUCACCCUCAUUUCCAUCACCAUCUCCAUCUUUUCUUCUUUUAUUGCUCAUGCUUCUACGACUAAAACUGGUACAAAACCAAGUUCCUUCAAAAAGAUCUAUGCCUUUGGAGACUCCUUCACUGACAUAGGCAACACAAAUUCAUUCACUGGCCCAGGACUCAGGAGCUUUCCAAUAUGUCUCCAACCCUCCAUACGGACGCACACUCUUUCACCACCCUACCAACAGAUACUCUGAUGGACGAUUCGUGAUCGACUUUCUAACUGAAGUACUGUCUUUACCUUAUUUGCCACCUUACUAUCAAACAGAGGCUGAUAAAUCACAUGGUGUGAAUUUUACUGUUGCUGGUUCUACUGCUAUAGAGCACAGUUUCUUUGUAAAGAGCAAUAUUACACUGACCGUCACUUCUCAGUCACUCGAAACUCAGCUAAGUUGGUUUGAACAGGUCUUGGAGAGUCAAGGAUGCAUAAACUCAUCAACAACACCACAACAGUGCAACACAGUGUUUGAUGAAGCCUUAAUCUGGUUUGGUGAAAUUGGAGUUAAUGACUUUGCAUAUACUGUUGGAUCUUUUGUCUCAAGUGAAACCAUUCGACAACUUGCAAUCAAGAGCGUUACUGAAUUUCUGCAGGUAAUUACUACGCUUUAACAGCUAUAUUUGUGUUGAUUAAUUACGUCCUAGAUAAUCAUUUAAGUUACUGGCUUAAACUUGCCUCUUCAAGUUUCUCUAAUUCCUUUGUCCUUAAAAAUUAGUCUUGCAUUUCCUAUUAGAAUGUAAAACGAAUACAAUCAUGAAAAGAUAAAAGAUAAUAUGAAAAUUUCAUAAGUGCUCUUUGUGCAUGCACUUAAUGUAUGUCCCCACAAAAAAAUAGGACAAAAAAGAAAACUAACACAAAUAAACACCGACAAUAAGGGUAAAAAUGUAGAGAAAUGAAAAUAUUACCAUUAUUUCGUUCAUGAGUUUGAAACUAGGUUGGGCUGGUCUGGGAAAGAUCAGAGGAGAGGUAAACUCAUUGCUCAUUGACAGCUUGUGUAGUGAUAUUACAAUUUACUUCACAAGUGCAC